UUUUUCCACCGGAGCUUGCUCCACCGGAAAAAGAGGAGUGGCGAACGGGUGAGUAACACGUGGGUAACCUGCCCAUCAGAAGGGGAUAACACUUGGAAACAGGUGCUAAUACCGUAUAACAAUCGAAACCGCAUGGUUUUGAUUUGAAAGGCGCUUUCGGGUGUCGCUGAUGGAUGGACCCGCGGUGCAUGAGCUAGUUGGUGAGGUAACGGCUCACCAAGAGCACGAUGCAUAGCCGACCUGAGAGGGUGAUCGGCCACAUUGGGACUGAGACACGGCCCAAACUCCUACGGGAGGCAGCAGUAGGGAAUCUUCGGCAAUGGACGAAAGUCUGACCGAGCAACGCCGCGUGAGUGAAGAAGGUUUUCGGAUCGUAAAACUCUGUUGUUAGAGAAGAACAAGGAUGAGAGUAACUGUUCAUCCCUUGACGGUAUCUAACCAGAAAGCCACGGCUAACUACGUGCCAGCAGCCGCGUAAUACGUAGGUGGCAAGCGUUGUCCGGAUUUAUUGGCGUAAAGCGAGCGCAGCCGUUUCUUAAGUCUGAUGUGAAAGCCCCGGCUCACCGGGAGGUCAUUGAAACUGGGAGACUUGAGUGCAGAGAGGAGAGUGAAUUCCAUGUGUAGCGUGAAAUGCGUAGAUAUAUGGAGGACACAGUGCGAGGCGGCUCUCUGUCUGUACUGACGCUGAGCUCGAAGCGUGGGGAGCAA
RNAcentral lists this ribosomal RNA (708 nucleotides) under Enterococcus hirae. RNAcentral's name for it is "bacterial SSU rRNA". It matches the Rfam family "Bacterial small subunit ribosomal RNA", at positions 72 to 771 of the family's 1533-position model. Lineage: Bacteria; Bacillati; Bacillota; Bacilli; Lactobacillales; Enterococcaceae. The record is from RNAcentral.